Molecule: non-coding RNA, 26 nt
Filed under: Homo sapiens (human)
Lineage: Eukaryota; Metazoa; Chordata; Mammalia; Primates; Hominidae
Source: RNAcentral
GCCAGAUAAGGUGAUUGAAAUGGGUC